Molecule: long non-coding RNA, 719 nt
Organism: Xenia sp. Carnegie-2017
Lineage: Eukaryota; Metazoa; Cnidaria; Anthozoa; Malacalcyonacea; Xeniidae
Exons: 2
Source: RefSeq, a predicted model, not a curated record
GUGAUGUUCAUUAAUGCAAAGUGCAGUGUGGCCUUUCCAUAAAGUUUUCGUCUUAGUAACUUUUGUUUCCUCUAUGCUUGAUUUUAGACAUGGACAUUCUUCUCUUAAGCGACAAUUAGUCAUCAAAUGAGAUUGAGAAACAACAAACAAAUGUUGGUGUAUUUACCAUGAUCGUGGACUCUACAAUUACAGAAACUGGUUGUUGUUCACAGCGGUUGAAGAGAAUUGUGGCUGUUGUCGACCAGUUCCUUCUUCCCUUGAACUACGUUACGAGUAAAUAAAAUGUUCAAUAUAAAAACCUUCUGAUCAAGAAUGGACAAUAUGCAUACUUUAAUGAAAUCCUCUGAACAAUGAUCAAGAAUGAACAGCGUACUUUAACGAGUCCUCUGAAGAAUGAUCAAGAUGAACAAUAUACUUUAAUGAGAAUCUUCUGAAUAAUGAUCAAGAAUGAACAAUAUACUUUGAUGAAAUUGAAAAAUACGUGACUUCUAAUGCCCUAAAGACCAUCUCUACAAAGAAUGCAAACGCUAAACACUCUUCUGGAGCAAUGCAUCCAUCAGCCUAACGCCUGUUUCCAUGGAAAAGUCAAUAUUAUGACCUUUUCUAAAACAUUUUCCUGGGAGUUUUCCUGCUAACAUCACGACUGGCAAUCAAUCGCAAUGAUGGAGAAAACCACGCCGCUAUCAAAUGCCCAAAUUUCAACAUUAUUUAAUUGAAAA